UCAAACAAACUUAGUUCAAUGCUGAGAAGCUUAGACAGGUGCUUAAUUUGCGUUUGCAUUUCUUUAGACAGGUGCUUAAUUUGCGUUUGCAUUUCUCUAGCACUCGCUCAUCUCUAAUCUCCAAUGCACAAGUGCUUCACUAAAAUACUCCGGCUAGAUGCGUCUCCGCCCUCAUCUCGUCCCAGGUUUCGUUCUCGCCGGCUUGCUGCGCCUCCGCCCCCAGCUCGUCCAAGGUAUGGAGCUCGCCGGAUUGCUGCGCGCCUGCGUCUCCGCCCCCAGCUCGUCCAAGGUAUGGAGCUCGCCGGCGGCUAGCUGCUCGUGGAGCUCGCCGCUCGCCUAUGCCUCCGCCUCCAGCUCUUUCGAGGCGUGCAGCUCGCCGGCUUGCUGCGCGCCUGCGCCUCCGCCCCCAGGUCGUCCGAG
This 420-nucleotide long non-coding RNA is filed under the name Brachypodium distachyon (stiff brome). RNAcentral describes it as "long non-coding RNA (BDIS_LNC001652)". Lineage: Eukaryota; Viridiplantae; Streptophyta; Magnoliopsida; Poales; Poaceae. The record is from RNAcentral.